Molecule: ribosomal RNA, 255 nt
Filed under: uncultured bacterium
Lineage: Bacteria
Description: partial 16S ribosomal RNA
Rfam family: Bacterial small subunit ribosomal RNA
Source: RNAcentral
UACGUAGGGCGCAAGCGUUGUCCGGAAUUAUUGGGCGUAAAGAGCUCGUAGGCGGUCUGUCGCGUCGGUUGUGAAAACACAAGGCUCAACCUUGUGCCUGCAAUCGAUACGGGCAGACUAGAGUACUGCAGGGGAGACUGGAAUUCCUGGUGUAGCGGUGGAAUGCGCAGAUAUCAGGAGGAACACCAGUAGCGAAGGCGGCUCGCUGGGCCAUUCCUGACGCUGGAGACGCGAAAAGCUAGGGGAGCGAACAGG